CCGCCGCGCGCGGCGGGCCUACGGGAGGCAGCAGUGGGGAAUAUUGCACAAUGGGCGCAAGCCUGAUGCAGCCAUGCCGCGUGUAUGAAGAAGGCCUUCGGGUUGUAAAGUACUUUCAGCGAGGAGGAAGGCGUUGUGGUUAAUAACCGCAACGAUUGACGUUACUCGCAGAAGAAGCACCGGCUAACUCCGUGCCAGCAGCCGCGUAUA
RNAcentral lists this ribosomal RNA (210 nucleotides) under uncultured bacterium. RNAcentral's name for it is "partial 16S ribosomal RNA". It matches the Rfam family "Bacterial small subunit ribosomal RNA", at positions 312 to 523 of the family's 1533-position model. The record is from RNAcentral.